CUUGGUCAUUUAGAGGAAGUAAAAGUCGUAACAAGGUCUCCGUAGGUGAACCUGCGGAGGGAUCAUUAAUAAGAUAAAAGACCUCUGGGUCCUUCAUCCUCAAACCUGUGGAAGCGAGAUGUGUUUCGGCGCCUCUGUGCGUCGAAUCUAUGCUGUUUAGCUUGUGUCUGACUGAAAACAAACAUUUAAAACUUUCAACAAAGGAUCUCUUGGCUCUCGUAUCGAUGAAGAACGCAGCAAAGCGCGAAAUGUAAUGUGAAUUGCAGAACAUUGUGAAUCAUCGAAUCUUUGAACGCACAUUGCGCCUCCCGUAAAUGGGAGGCAUGCCUGUCUGAGCGUCAUUUAAAACCAUAACCUUUGGGUUGUAUUGGGACUCGCCCUAUGGCGUCUCCUCAAAGUCAUCGUGUCUAAAAGCGUACGAGCUCCAUUAGGACAGAACGUUUGAGGACCCUAAACUCUCUGACUUGACCUCAGAUCAGGUAGGACUACCGCCUGGACUUAAGCAUAUCAAUAAGCGGAGGA
RNAcentral lists this ribosomal RNA (522 nucleotides) under uncultured Basidiomycota. RNAcentral describes it as "eukaryotic LSU rRNA". The stretch from base 190 to 341 matches the Rfam family "5.8S ribosomal RNA". The record is from RNAcentral. Lineage: Eukaryota; Fungi; Basidiomycota.